Molecule: long non-coding RNA, 3208 nt
Organism: Lynx canadensis (Canada lynx)
Lineage: Eukaryota; Metazoa; Chordata; Mammalia; Carnivora; Felidae
Exons: 5
Source: RefSeq, a predicted model, not a curated record
GGGUGGGAAGGAAGACUGCUGAAUGGAAAGGCAGGAAGAGAGACAUUUGGGAUCAAGCCAUCCCAGACCAGAGCCAUCUUCCCUGUCCAGCUCUGAACCCUGGGUUCUCCUUUCAUGGUGCUCAUGGUUUCUCCUUUCAUGGUGCAGCGGAGUUCACACUAGUCAGUGUUCUGCUAGAUGGAAAGGUUACCACAGCCCCACCCCUCCUGGGCCUCCCUCCUCUUAGCCAAGUUUCUCCCUUCUUCACAUUUUGCCCUUCCUAGGUAGUUGGAGUCUAGUUCCUAUGUCAAUGCCAGCCAUAACUGGGGGCACAGGGGAGCAAGUGACUGUGCAAAGCCACUUCCAAGCUGUGGACACAGGGCUGAGAAAUGGAAAAACCUACCAGUACCCAUUCCGGCUUUGACCUGGCUGGGGCAGCCUUGGGUCAAGUCCUCUCAGUAGUCCUGGUUUCCACCAACAUCAGGAAGGGGAGCUGCCAGAGCCAUCUAGGCAGGCACCCCAGGACUGUGCCAGCCAGGUGCCAAGCCAACCUGGGAGAGAAGCAUCCCUCAGCCAGGAUCUCUACAAGGACACGUCUGCUCCAUGAGGAAAACUUAGGUGCUUUAUUCUCAGCCUUUAUUACAAAGGCACAACGGCCCAGUUGUUGUUACCCUGGACUCAAACUGUUUGGAGACCAGGUUGGGCUCUGAGCAAUUCUUCAGUUAGGAAGUUACAGCAGCAUUUACCGAAGCAGCCUGCUGGAAACCAUAAAUAAGGGAGCAAGAAGUAGCCUCAAGAAGAAACAAACUUUAGGAGAAUGUGCACUGAGAAAAGCCAGAUGGAGUCCCCCUGGAUCAAGUUAAUUAAGAAAUAAACAUGACGGUAUACUGGAGUCAAAACCAAGGAAUGCGGUUUGCACCUGGCUUUUGGGAUUCAGCAGUCCCACCGACGGAGCACCAGCUAACAGGCUGGGAGCUUUGUCAGCAAGUUCUUAAACGGCUCAUAAUUCUGCUAAGAGCUUGCGGGUAUCUAGCUGGUGUUCAAGGACCCAAGUGCAAACAUUACGAGGUUUAUGUCCACGUCGCAGUCUAAGGCAAGAGGUCAUCUGCCCUUUGGGGGGGGGGGGUGGUGCCCUCAUGUCCUGACACACCAUCUCUCCAUUGGGGUAUAUCGGGAAGCAGGCUGGCUUCUAGGCCCCGCAGUGCCCAUAUGGUUGGCGCCGUCUGCAUUUUAAGCACUCCCUCGCCCCUCUCUGCACUCGGGAGGGCCCUGAAUCGCCGGUAGGUACCGAGUCAGAAUGCAGGAGGGUCCCCCAACACAGGGCUAGCGAGAGGAGCGUGGGCCGCCUCCUCGGGGCAGACCCAGGCUAUGUCCACAGGCCGGAAGCACUGAGGUGGGUAGGCAACUGGGUGAAGGGGGUGCCAGGCACGCCCGGGUGCCCGCACCUCUCACCAGCCCCCGGAAGCGCCGCCCUCCCGCCCCAGCGGGCUCCGAGGGGGCGGGGAGUCGAACGCCCCUUCCGGGUGCCUCCGCCCGGCUGGCCAUCCCCGCUCCUCCUCCGGGCGGGAAUCCUCCCUCCCCCGCCCCUCCCGGAGCCGGGCCCCGGCGCCAGGCCCGGUCCCAGGGGGGAACCCCGGCCCCGGCUUCCCCUCCCUGCGGCCUCUGCCCGUCUUCCCGACCCUUGGGGGCCGGAAAGACCCCGCCGGCAGCGGUCAGGACCCACCGCUCAUUACGACAUCUUCCUCCCUGGCCUCCGCCGCCUCCGCCGCCACCGAGAGCCUGACACCGCCCGCCCAGCACCCGCCAAUCCCGGAGCCCGCCACCGCCCGAGCGACGGCAGCGUUCACCAAUAAGAGUUCAGUACAUUGGGGACCGACAGCACUAGUAUCCAAUCAGAGAGAGGCGUCUAGAGCGACGUUGGUUUGGCCAAUAGGCUUGUGAAAUGUCACUGAUGGACAGUAGAGGGCACCAACCGGAAACCUACUGAAGAGUGAACGACAUGUUCGUCGGCCAAUUGGCGGGACGUGAAGUCCCGCCUACGAGGUGGUUGAUGGACAGCAACAGGAAGCUAGAUGGGGAGGGGCUUAGCUGAGGAGUGGUUUUGUAUUGGUCGUGGUUGACCUUCCACCCACCUCGAACCCAAAAGAUGAGUGAUAGAUCUACCCCAAAGCCAAUCAGAAGUCCUUAGGGUGAGGCCCAGAAAUGCCCUAUAAAUAGUACACGCUUUACACCUCAAUCUAGUGUCGCCCUGGAGUGGCGGGAGCCACCUGCUUUUCGGCUACUCAAACCCCUUGGCUGGUGAGUGGGAAGCCACCAGCCUUUUUUUUUUUUAAUUUCCCUCGCCUUUAUCGCUUCGGGAGAGGGAAAUGAGCCCCCAGGUGACUUUGUACCGCGAGGCAUCGGAGUUCAACACAAUAGCGGGAGUUGGGCUACGUGACACUUCUGAGAGAAGGGAUUAUUUCUCCAUCUCAGUUCAAGCCCCUGUUCAUCCUCACCUAGUUAUUGCAGCGACCCGCCCCUCCCCUCCCCCCACAACGGACGGUCCACCCAGAAUCACCUGAAGCUCUCUAAAAGGAGAUUCCCGGGGCUGCCGCUCAUAAUCCGAUUCUGUGCGUCUAGGGCACUCUUGGAAUAUACAUUCUGUCCAGCACCUUGGGCGGACAGAGAGUUGGGCCUUUCCGAUUUACCUCCUUGAAUGAGGUGCUGUGUGAGUACAUACAGCCCUUGGGAGGCGCGACCCGGGUACGUUUUUCUUUCCCAGGUCUGCUGUACAUGCGUAACUUGGGCAGGCUGCCUGGCAUUACUGAGCAGGAAUCCACGCUGGCUUCAGACCAGCCUGGGUUUGAAAUUUACGUCCCACUUACAGAGGGGCAGGGUACUGAAACUCCCUGCGCCUUACGUCCUCACCUGCAAAUGAGGCUAGUCACACCUACACUUACAGCAGCGGCUUCUCUUUCUUUUUUAAACACCAUAAGCCGCAGUGAGAAAUAACAUUUGAAUCCCGACACAGUACCCUAAAACUCAGGUGAAAAUGUGUAGCAAAGUUUCCAAAAACAAUACUAAACCUUUCUACCCGCGACGCCCUGAUAAUUUCUAUAGUUAUUCUCCUUUCCCCCUUCCCUCCCUUCCUUUUUUUUCGUUCCUUUUCUUGAUCUUGACUGGCAGCUUGAAAAAAGCUAUCAUAAAGGGUUGGAGUGACCAAAUAAAAUACAGAGCCCAAUGCCCAGUA